RNAcentral lists this ribosomal RNA (987 nucleotides) under Plasmodium knowlesi. RNAcentral's name for it is "SSU rRNA". It matches the Rfam family "Eukaryotic small subunit ribosomal RNA", at positions 638 to 1428 of the family's 1831-position model. The record is from RNAcentral. Lineage: Eukaryota; Apicomplexa; Aconoidasida; Haemosporida; Plasmodiidae.
ACAUAACUGAUGCCUCCGCGUAUCGACUUUGUGCGCAUUUUAGCUAUUAUGUGUUCUUUUAAUUAAAAUGAUUCUUUUUAAGAUUCAUCUAUUAAAAAUUUGCUUCGGCAUAAUUUUUUUUGAUGAUCUUGUUACUUUGAGUAAAUUAGAGUGUUCAAAGCAAACAGAUAUAGCAUUUGUGCGUUUGAAUACUACAGCAUGGAAUAACAAAAUUGAACAAGUCAGAAUUUUUUUGUUCUUUUUUCUUAUUUUGGCUUAGUUACGAUUAAUAGGAGUAGCUUGGGGGCAUUUGUAUUCAGAUGUCAGAGGUGAAAUUCUUAGAUUUUCUGGAGACAAACAACUGCGAAAGCAUUUGCCUAAAAUACUUCCAUUAAUCAAGAACGAAAGUUAAGGGAGUGAAGACGAUCAGAUACCGUCGUAAUCUUAACCAUAAACUAUGCCGACUAGGCUUUGGAUGAAAGAUUUUAAAAUAAGAGUUUUUCUUUUCUCUCCAGAGAUUAGAACUCUUAGAUUGCUUCCUUCAGUGCCUUAUGAGAAAUCAAAGUCUUUGGGUUCUGGGGCGAGUAUUCGCGCAAGCGAGAAAGUUAAAAGAAUUGACGGAAGGGCACCACCAGGCGUGGAGCUUGCGGCUUAAUUUGACUCAACACGGGAAAACUCACUAGUUUAAGACAAGAGUAGGAUUGACAGAUUAAUAGCUCUUUCUUGAUUUCUUGGAUGGUGAUGCAUGGCCGUUUUUAGUUCGUGAAUAUGAUUUGUCUGGUUAAUUCCGAUAACGAACGAGAUCUUAACCUGCUAAUUAGCGGCAAAUACGAUAUAUUCUUAUGUAGAAUUGAAUAUAGUGGAUUUGUUAGAUUUUGAAGAAAAUAUUGGAAUUACGUUAAAUGUGAUUCCUUUCCCUUUUCUACUUAAUUUACAUUUCCAUCUAUUUCUUUUUUGCGUAUGAAUGUAUUUGCUUGAUUGUAAAGCUUCUUAGAGGAACGAUGUGUG